CGGAUCCGAUGUGACUGGCGACGGAAGUGGGUAACCACGGUGGAGCAUCGGAACAUACGGCCGGUCGCCUGGGCAAAGAGC
This is a non-coding RNA of Paenibacillus darwinianus, 81 nucleotides long. The record is from Rfam. NCBI's taxonomy places the organism in Bacteria, Bacillati, Bacillota, Bacilli, Caryophanales, Paenibacillaceae.